Molecule: ribosomal RNA, 328 nt
Filed under: uncultured eukaryote
Lineage: Eukaryota
Description: partial 18S ribosomal RNA
Rfam family: Eukaryotic small subunit ribosomal RNA
Source: RNAcentral
CCCUUAGAUGUCCUGGGCCGCACGCGCGUUACACUGAUGCAUUCAACGAGCUUAUAACCUUGGCCGAGAGGCCUGGGCAAUCUUGUUAACGUGCAUCGUGAUAGGGAUAGAUUAUUGAAAUUAUUAAUCUUGAACGAGGAAUUCCUAGUAAACGCAGAUCAUCAAUCUGCAUUGAUUACGUCCCUGCCCUUUGUACACACCGCCCGUCGCACCUACCGAUUGGAUGGUCCGGUGAAGCCUCGGGAUUGUGGUUCUUGCCGCUUUAUUGUGGCGUGACCGCGAGAACUUGUCUAAACCUUAUCAUCUAGAGGAAGGUGAAGUCGUAAUA